CUUUCUCUACAUCCUCUAUUAAGCAUAUCCAAAUAUCUUUCAAGAGGAUUGGAGAUCCUACUAUGUGUAUGAGGUGGAAGAGGAAUAUACGUCUACUGACUCAUGAUGAUAAAUAGGUUCUUAAGGUCCCAAAGCUCCCUGCUCUUUAGAGACAUUCUCUUCGAGCAUAACUUUCCUCCCACUGCUUCAUCUUGGUCAAAUAAUUUUUCAAGAAGAUAGCCUGUCAGAUCACAAUCAUAUUGUAAUCCCAUC
Molecule: long non-coding RNA, 252 nt
Filed under: Elaeis guineensis (African oil palm)
Lineage: Eukaryota; Viridiplantae; Streptophyta; Magnoliopsida; Arecales; Arecaceae
Description: long non-coding RNA (EGUI_LNC069168)
Source: RNAcentral